UGGGGAAUAUUGGACAAUGGGCGAAAGCCUGAUCCAGCCAUGCCGCGUGUGUGAAGAAGGUCUUCGGAUUGUAAAGCACUUUAAGUUGGGAGGAAGGGCAUUAACCUAAUACGUUAGUGUUUUGACGUUACCGACAGAAUAAGCACCGGCUAACUCUGUGCCAGCAGCCGCGGUAAUACAGAGGGUGCAAGCGUUAAUCGGAAUUACUGGGCGUAAAGCGCGCGUAGGUGGUCUGUGAAGUUGGAUGUGAAAUCCCCGGGCUCAACCUGGGAACUGCAUUCAAAACUGACUGACUAGAGUAUGGUAGAGGGUGGUGGAAUUUCCUGUGUAGCGGUGAAAUGCGUAGAUAUAGGAAGGAACACCAGUGGCGAAGGCGACCACCUGGACUAAUACUGACACUGAGGUGCGAAAGCGUGGGGAGCAAACA
This 427-nucleotide ribosomal RNA is filed under the name uncultured bacterium. RNAcentral's name for it is "partial 16S ribosomal RNA". It matches the Rfam family "Bacterial small subunit ribosomal RNA", at positions 355 to 774 of the family's 1533-position model. The record is from RNAcentral.